GAUGAACGCUGGCGGCGUGCCUAAUACAUGCCAGUCGAGCGAACGGACGAGAAGCUUGCUUCUCUGAUGUUAGCGGCGGACGGGUGAGUAACACGUGGAUAACCUACCUAUAAGACUGGGAUAACUUCGGGACACCGGAGCUAAUACCGGAUAAUAUUUUGAACCGCAUGGUUCAAAAGUGAAAGACGGUCUUGCUGUCACUUAUAGAUGGAUCCGCGCUGCAUUAGCUAGUUGGUAAGGUAACGGCUUACCAAGGCAACGAUGCAUAGCCGACCUGAGAGGGUGAUCGGCCACACUGGAACUGAGACACGGUCCAGACUCCUACGGGAGGCAGCAGUAGGGAAUCUUCCGCAAUGGGCGAAAGCCUGACGGAGCAACGCCGCGUGAGUGAUGAAGGUCUUCGGAUCGUAAAACUCUGUUAUUAGGGAAGAACAUAUGUGUAAGUAACUGUGCACAUCUUGACGGUACCUAAUCAGAAAGCCACGGCUAACUACGUG
This 497-nucleotide ribosomal RNA is filed under the name uncultured bacterium. RNAcentral's name for it is "partial 16S ribosomal RNA". It matches the Rfam family "Bacterial small subunit ribosomal RNA", at positions 28 to 507 of the family's 1533-position model. The record is from RNAcentral.